UUAGUCACUUGAGUAAAACCCAAUCACUCCCUAUGCACUUCAAGAAAAAUAAUAACUGGAUUGGAUAGAAACUAGGGAAAAUUGCAAAAAAAACCCUUUUAAAAUAGAAUUUUUACGCGCUUUACUUCCACCCAACUUUUCCUAGCAAAAUACCUCCUUACAAAAGUUUUUUUUUUUUAACAAAAAUAACCUUCCCUCACCUAACAAAUUAUUUUCAUUGGAGAGGGCAGUCCGGUGUUUCAUGGAGGCGGUCCAACGAUUAUUUUUUGUUGGAAUGGGUGGUCAGGCAUUUUGAAAUUGCGGUCCGUCAUUUUGAAGGGGCAAUCCGGCAUUUUGAUAUGGCGGUCCAGCAUUUUAAAGGGGAGUCCGGCGUUUUGAAGUAGCAGUCCGACGUUAUGAAGUAAGCAGUCCGGCGUUGUACAAGUGCAGUCCGACAUUUUUUUUUAUUAGAAUCCGAAAAUGAUUUGUUACAUGAUGGAAAGGUAUUUCAUCAAAAAAAAAAAUACUUUUGUAGAGGGGGUAUCUGCUAGGAAAGAUGUUUUUUUUAUGGGAAGUUGCUAGGAAAAGUUAGGUGGGGGGUUUUGCAAUUUUCCUUGGAAACUAUCUAAUUUUUUGAAGGAAUACUACACAAUAAGUUGAUUUACUUUUGAUAUAAAAAGUUCAAUGUUAUUAUUGAUCAUAAGUUGUACAAUUAAGUGACUGGGAUGUGUCAUUGAUU
This 718-nucleotide long non-coding RNA is filed under the name Amborella trichopoda. RNAcentral's name for it is "long non-coding RNA (ATRI_LNC004148)". Lineage: Eukaryota; Viridiplantae; Streptophyta; Magnoliopsida; Amborellales; Amborellaceae. The record is from RNAcentral.